This 429-nucleotide ribosomal RNA is filed under the name Verrucomicrobiota bacterium. RNAcentral describes it as "Verrucomicrobia bacterium partial 16S ribosomal RNA". It matches the Rfam family "Bacterial small subunit ribosomal RNA", at positions 355 to 776 of the family's 1533-position model. The record is from RNAcentral. Lineage: Bacteria; Pseudomonadati; Verrucomicrobiota.
UAGGGAAUCUUCCGCAAUGGACGAAAGUCUGACGGAGCAACGCCGCGUGAGUGAAGAAGGAUUUCGGUUCGGAAAACUCUGUUGUGAGGGAAGAAAAAAUGUAUAGUAAAUAUAUACAAAAGAGAUGGUACCUAACCAGAAAGCCACGGAUAACUACGGGCCAGCAGCCGCGGUAAUACGUAGGUGGCAAGCGUUUGCCGGAAUUAUUGGGCGUAAAACGCGCGCAGGUGGUUUAGAAAGUCUGAUGUGAAAGCCCACGGCUCAACCAUGGACGGUCAUUGGAAGCUACUAAACUUGAGUGCAGGAGAGAAAGGUGGAAUUCCUGCUGUAGCGGUGAAAUGCGUAGAGAUUAGGAGGAACAACGGUGGCGAAAGCGGCUUUUUGGCCUGCAACUGACACUGAGGCGCGAAAGCGUGGAGCGCAAACAGG